AGGCAGCAGUGGGGAAUUUUGGACAAUGGGGGAAACCCUGAUCCAGCCAUCCCGCGUGUGCGAUGAAGGCCUUCGGGUUGUAAAGCACUUUUGGCAGGAAAGAAACGUCAUGGGUUAAUACCCCGUGAAACUGACGGUACCUGCAGAAUAAGCACCGGCUAACUACGUGCCAGCAGCCGCGGUGAUACGUAGGGUGCAAGCGUUAAUCGGAAUUACUGGGCGUAAAGCGUGCGCAGGCGGUUCGGAAAGAAAGAUGUGAAAUCCCAGAGCUUAACUUUGGAACUGCAUUUUUAACUACCGGGCUAGAGUGUGUCAGAGGGAGGUGGAAUUCCGCGUGUAGCAGUGAAAUGCGUAGGUAUGCGGAGGAACACCGAUGGCGAAGGCAGCCUCCUGGGAUAACACUGACGCUCAUGCACGAAAGCGUGGGGAGCAAACAGGAUUAGAUACCCUGGUAGUCCACGCCCUAAACGAUGUCAACUAGCUGUUGGGGCCUUCGGGCCUUGGUAGCGCAGCUAACGCGUGAAGUUGACCGCCUGGGGAGUACGGUCGCAAGAUUAAAACUCAAAUGAAUUGACG
Molecule: ribosomal RNA, 576 nt
Filed under: uncultured beta proteobacterium
Lineage: Bacteria; Pseudomonadati; Pseudomonadota; Betaproteobacteria
Description: bacterial SSU rRNA
Rfam family: Bacterial small subunit ribosomal RNA
Source: RNAcentral